GACGAACGCUGGCGGCGUGCUUAACACAUGCAAGUCGAGCGGUAAGGCCCUUUCGGGGGUACACGAGCGGCGAACGGGUGAGUAACACGUGGGUGACCUGCCCUUAGCUCUGGGAUAAGCCUGGGAAACUGGGUCUAAUACCGGAUAUGACUCCAUGACGCAUGUUGUGGGGUGGAAAGCCUUGUGCGGCUAGGGAUGGGCCCGCGGCCUAUCAGCUUGUUGGUGGGGUGAUGGCCACCAAGGCGACGACGGGUAGCCGGCCUGAGAGGGCGACCGGCCACACUGGGACUGAGACACGGCCCAGACUCCUACGGGAGGCAGCAGUGGGGAAUCUUNCGCAAUGGGCGAAAGCCUGACGCAGCGACGCCGCGUGAGGGAUGACGGCCUCGGUU
This 392-nucleotide ribosomal RNA is filed under the name uncultured bacterium. RNAcentral describes it as "bacterial SSU rRNA". It matches the Rfam family "Bacterial small subunit ribosomal RNA", at positions 28 to 424 of the family's 1533-position model. The record is from RNAcentral.